GAGUGUUUGUGGCUCUUGGAAUGAUUGACUUUGUUCAGUGACUACCAUUAAGAUUUUCCAAGGACUGACUCAUCCCAAAUUUUUGUUGUAUUACCAAAAAAACAGAUUCCUUAUCAGAAUUUGGAAUAGAAUGUGAUCUCUAUUGCAAAAAGUAAUUUUAAAAGAAAGCUACAUUUAUUUUAGAGUAGUGCUCCUAACAUGUAUUAUCAACUUUGUGGAUUACAUUGAAGGAAAAUUUAAAACUGGGGCCUUGAAUAUUUAUUUUUUGAAACUACCAUGUUAAAUACUGAAGUAUAAUUUGAGGGAGUUACAAAGUUAUGAUAAACAUUGAUCUGAUUAUUUUAAAAAAUAAUUGUGGUAGAUAAACAUACUGGAGGUGAGUCAAAUUGAAUUCAUAUAGUAACAUGCAGCCUUAAGUCCUAGUUACUUAAAGGUACUCAGCCUGGAGUGAAAAUCCUGGGUACUGACUUUGAGAGGGGUGAGUGUGCGUGUUGUCAAAGUUUCUGAACGCAGUUCAUGUAGCCUCAUUAGCAAAAGUUUUAAGAAAUGGCUCUAUCAAAGAAGCAAUUACAGCUUUAUUCAGAAAUAUAAAAGUGGAAUUUAUGUACAUGUCAUAAGUGGUACCCACUUCCCCUUUUUACUGUAGGUGGAUAACUCUUAGGAUUUAACUCUUUGAAUAUUAUCUCUUGAAUAAAGCGUGUGUUAAUGUUAACAAACCUACCUAAUUUUUGCCCUUUCAAUGACUUACAGUGGAGAGCCAGUACAUCUUAACUACUGUUGUAGUGAUGGUAUCAACCUUAUGGUUACUUAGCUCUGCAUUUGUUGCUUUGUUUUUUUUCCCACUUCAAAUCACAAAAUAAGUAGAUUUUGUUUUCUGAAAACUCCACAGCAUUUGAAUACAAAAAGUUGUGCCAGAUUGUUUGCCCUAAUUCAGUGUGUUUAACAAAUAUUUCAGUACACACUAUGUAUUAGGCCCUGUGUGGAAAGUGUUAAGGGGCAGACAAAAUACUGAAUAAUCUCUACAAGUUUAUUUGUGGUCUAUACUACUUUUGUAACUGGGGUUACAAAAAUUAUAGAAAUUUUUUUUCCUUUAUUUAUAUGCAUAUUCAUGAUUAUAAUUUGGCUUUGUUUGUGAUUAAUGUUUUCUUAAGAUUUUCACAUUAUGGAAUACCUCAAAAGAAGUUGUCUAAGGAUUGGGAUAGAGAGUAUGUUUCAUAAAAUUGUAGAUGUUUAGAAUUUUUUAAAACCCUACAAAUUAGUAUAUGAUUGUUUUAUAUAAGUAAGAUAGGAGCAACACUUUAAAUUAUUUGUGGGAGAAUACGGCAUUAAAGGUGAUUUUAAA
RNAcentral lists this long non-coding RNA (1342 nucleotides) under Pongo abelii (Sumatran orangutan). RNAcentral's name for it is "lncRNA (ENSPPYG00000036281.1)". The record is from RNAcentral. Lineage: Eukaryota; Metazoa; Chordata; Mammalia; Primates; Hominidae.